CUUCGUUUUAUUUUUUAAGUGACACUCUUGGCCCUCCAUAACUUUUAUGGUUGUUAAAAUCAAUUAACCCAUGUCUGUACAUUUUAGGCUACUCCGUAAAAACAAAUACAUUUUAAACACGUUUUGAGAAGUUUGUGCCAUAUUAUUGCAGUAUAGUGUUAAAAACUCGGCAUAAAAAUCGAGUUAACUAGCUCUUUCUUUUCAAUCUAGAUCUCGGUAACAAACAUUGCUUGAAUGAUUCGUGAGGGAACGAGUCGGUGAUCCAGUCGCAGUCGAACGAUUAAGAGAGUAUAAGGCUGUCUCUUUCUCAAAGGUAGACUUCAUUUAGUUUAACUAUAAAACAUACCGCCAUUAAAAUAAAUAUGUUUUAAGGAUUACAUAAAGUAACCGCAUCCUACUCAUCGGUUUAUCGAGGGUGGAGAACGUGUUUCGGGAAGCUCGCGGAAUUGGUUGUUUAUCGGGCGUCACGGCACACUUUGGCACAUCUUACACUGAUUUAAAUGUCGUAAAACUGUUACUCUGGCGCUCAUCUGGCCUUAUUCUUCCUGUAAACUGAGAGUACACUCCUCCUUCGCCAUGUGUUACCUGACAGGAGUUAGUUUCACCGUGUGUUGUGCUCAGUGGGUGUGUCUCUUUUCUGCUUGGGAACUGCUUUAUUCUUUCUUUCUCAAUGCAUUCAUCUGUCUUAAGCCGUCUCUGUCGCCAUCUUUUCCUCAUUUGAACACAGGUAAACCCUACAGCUUUGCAUUCCAGUCAUAGUUCUGAAUGUAUGUUUGCCAGUUUUCACGUGGAAAACGAGCUUCAGCAUGUCUGCUCCUGCCAGUGAUGAUGGUGCUGUGUCUCGCCAUCUAAUGGCCUGUGCUGAUAUUAUAUGCAAAUAUGGUAGAUGUGUGCUGAUGGAUGGGAAGCCCACCUGUGAGUGUAUGCUGGGCUACAUCGGAGACACCUGUAAUGAAACAAUUAAUAACUCUCUGUCUGUGCCGCUCACCCUCGGUUUCCUGGCUUCCAUCAUUGGCUUUAUCAUCAUGUUCUUUGGGAUGGCUUUUUUCCGGCAAAGGCAAAAGGCGAAGAAGAGAGAAAAGGCAGCUGAAGAAGCCCUGUUAAGAAACGGAGCACAUCUUUAA
Molecule: long non-coding RNA, 1124 nt
Filed under: Carassius auratus (goldfish)
Lineage: Eukaryota; Metazoa; Chordata; Actinopteri; Cypriniformes; Cyprinidae
Description: lncRNA (ENSCARG00000001788.1)
Source: RNAcentral